Molecule: long non-coding RNA, 275 nt
Filed under: Lathyrus oleraceus (garden pea)
Lineage: Eukaryota; Viridiplantae; Streptophyta; Magnoliopsida; Fabales; Fabaceae
Description: Pisum sativum (pea) long non-coding RNA (PSAT_LNC031125)
Source: RNAcentral
GAAGUCAACCUUAGUAAAGAAUGUUGAAAUCCUCCUCGCAUAAUCUCUAUAUGGGAUGAGGCCAGGCUGAUUCGUUUCCCAUUCACCCUUAAUCUGAUUAACAACGAGGGCCGAAUCACCAUAAACAUCAAGAUGUUUGAAUGAGGCCAGGCUGAUUCGUUUCCCAUUCACCCUUAAUCUGAUUAACAACGAGGGCCGAAUCACCAUAAACAUCAAGAUGUUUGAUCCUAAGAUCAAUACAUUCUUCCAAUCCCAUAAUACAGGCCUUAUACUCA